CUAACUUAGAGAUUGUUAAAAAUCUAGUAGUUAUUUUAAUAAAUAUUUAUUUAUUUUGUAUAUCAUGAAUUUUAUUAUUCCUUUAUGUUCAUUAUUACAGGUUUGAUAUAUUUAAUAUUUGACAGCAGUAUAAGAUACCUGGGAAAAUGAUCGAAGAUCAUUUUCAUGGCGCCCAUGAUUAGUUAGUUUUAUUUAUUUUGUUCGUUUUUAGUCAUUAUUCAUCUCCAUUCAUUUUCAGUACAUUAUUCUUAUUUUAUUAUUUCAUCUUUUAGUCAUCAUUACUAUCUAUAUAGAGCUACUGUUCUUCGACAGGCAUGCAAACGAGCCGUAUCCAUCCUUGAGUGUCAAGUCUCUCUCUACAUCUAUGUCCCAUUACUUAGUCUUUUCAUUUUCUUUUUCAUUACUUCUGUUGGAGUAUAUCACUCCAACAGAAGUUCAUUUUUGUUACACUAGUAGUAUUUAAUUUUUUCAUUUUUGUUACACUGGCUGCCCAAUGCGUGGUGCCAACCGUUUUAUGGUUCUAAGACAGUAGUUCUUUUAGUUCAAUUUUCUUUUAUUGGAAUUUUCUGUUUUAUUAACUUUUUGAUAUCUUUGUAUACAUGUUACUUCUGAUUUAUUUUUGGUCUUUAAAACUUUACGAAUACUAAACAGGUAGACUUAUGCUGCUUUUGGUUUUGAUUAGUUGAUUUCGAUACCUCAUUUUUAGUUUUAGUGGUACAGCUCAUAUUUUGGUUUGAAUUUUGUAUUUUUAUUGGAAACUUAUUUGUGUAUUUAGAAUGAGUAUACAUGACUGUCAUUAUGUUCUAUUAUUAUGGAUUUUUAGUCCUUCUACCAAUGGUAGUAUGUUUGCACGUACAAUUAAUUAUUGACUAUAUGCAUAUAUUUUUUUUCUAGUGUGGUUAUAUUUUCCACCUAACUAGAAAUUAUUUUCAGUAUUUAGGUAUUUUAUUUACUUUAUUGAUUUGAUUAUUUAUAUAUUUUGCUGGCAUUUUGAUUUGUUGGUGUGUCGCUAAUAUUUUCUCCAUAUGUAUCUUUGUCUUACAAACUUUAGAUUAUAUUUUAUAUUUGUUAUUUUUGAUAUUUGGGUUGUUUGGUAAGACAGGCACACACCACAAAGCAAUAUCAGUCCAGAACAUUAGCUUCUAUACAUGAUACGUUGAAUUCGCAUGGUUCGGAUGAUUACAGAUGUUCAUCCAUAAUUUAUUUUCUUUAAUUGGUAGUGUUAAACAUUACAAUGAUAAAUUGUAUAGUUAAGUAGUUCCAUUAUCCAUCUCAGCUCCUAGUUUUGUUAAUUUUGAGAAUAAUAUAUCAACAUGGGUACUAUAUACCGCUUAUAUAAAUCAGACAGAUACUUUAGGUUGAGAUUUUAAUAUAAAUUCUUUAUUAGUUAGAAACAUUGAUACUAUUUUUCUAUUAAGUUAUAGAACAAUCUUCAGAAGAAGAUUACCUUAACAGUGUUGUUCAAGCUAAUCUCUUCUUCUGUUUGUCUUUAGCUUAGCUCAAUCGUUAGUAUGGUUAGAAAUUUUAGUCUGAUUUUUUUUUACCAUCUGAUAAUGCAGGUACCUACAUACAUUGCUUGAUUUCAUCUUUGGCUUUGUUGUUGAUGACUUUUAAUUUAUUACUUAUUGGUUUAAGUAUUAUGUAGUACUUUAUGUAUGAGUUUAUUUUUUUUUGGUAUUAGGUAUGGUGCAUUUUAAUUAUUAUUAUGAGUCAAUAUUAUUAAUUGCUAAUCCUGUCAGGAUUAUACAAUUAAUAAGAACUUCACUUGUAUUUUUGUCUAGUUUUUGCACACCUAACCCCUAAGUUAGAAGGGUUGUUGAGUAUUAUAUAUUUAUAUAUUUGGAUAGGUAAGCUCAUACAAGUACUCUUGUUUAAUAUGGAUAUUAUUAUGGAACUGUAUGUUAUGCACUACUUAUUUCAGGUUAUGUGUUAUAUUAUUUUGAAUAUUUGAUUACUUACUAAUUUUUUUAUUAUUUUUAUAUCUUAUUAUUGAAUUUGCCAUAUUGGAAAGAUGUGGUUUUUAAUUUGUUAUUGGGUUACUCUAUUAACAUUAUUUGUCUCCAAUAUCUUAAACACUUUAUAAUAAUUUAUAUCCUUCUAUCCUACACAGUAUGAUUCCGGAAUUAGUUUGGAAUUUUGAUGUAAGUAUGUAUGAAUUCUUGAGUCUUUCAUAUUUCUUCUUAGACACUAGUCUGUUGAUGCUCAAAGUAGGUGAAUACGUGGGUUCGAAGUUCAGCAAGGCGCCAUUGCUAUCCGAUUUCGCAAUCUAUGUCUUUCAUUGCAGAGUAGACAGAUGUUUAUCUAUCAUAAUAUUUCUGGUCAGGAAAUGCCUGCAGCAUGUCCUAACUAUUCUUGUCUAAUUAGUCCAAUUAUUCCAGUUACAUAUUUACAAUUUGAUAGGGAAGUAUUUAGUUUAUAUUUUAUCUCGUACUUCAUAGUAUGUUUGUUGUUGAAUAUCCCUAUACGCAGUAGGUUUGUUAAGUCAGUAUUUGGAGUGUUUAGACAAAUGAGUUGUUCAUCAGAGUAUAUUCCCACUUCUUUCCUUAGGCAUUAGUUGCUAUUCAGAUUCUGGAAUAUUUCCUGAAUAAUUCCACGUAUGUGAGAACGCAUGAAUUUGCAGUUUUAUUUAAAAUUGUGCUCGUUCUCGUCAAUUUUUUUUGCCUAUCACUUAUCAUAGUGUCAUAGAACUUACGAGUUCAUCAUGUAUUCUUUUUCUUUCUUACUUAUUCUUACGUUAUUAGUACUUUAUCUGUGUCUGGUUAUUCUCAUACAUCUGUUGUAGCAACAUGCUAUAGUUCGCGAAUACCAGCAUGAAUUAAGUUAUGUAUUUUCUAGAAUACUUUAGUCAAUACACUUUAGGUAUUUAUCUUACCCUUGAUUUAGUUUGGUUACCUCUCUGUUACUUAGUCUGUUAGUAACUUUUUUUCUGACUUAUUUUGGAUUACUUAGUUUAGAUAGGUUCAUAUUACCGGAUGAGGGUGUAUGUAGACCUAAUUUAUUUAUUUUGUUCAGUAUUAGUUACCAUUGGAUCCAAUAAUUUAGUUUAUUUAGUAUUAGUAAGAAUUGGUCCAUAAAUUUGCCUGAUCGUUCUUCUUUGGAUAUACUCCUAUAUAAAUCUGGUGUCCAUUGAUAGUCCGAUUCUGGAUAAGUGUCCGAUUCUUCAUUUAUUUUGUGUAUUUGGUUGGAUAGGUUCGUAUUACCGGAUGUGGGUGUACGUAGACCUGAUCUGUUUAUGUGGUUUAGUAUUGGUGUGAAUUGGUCCAUAAAUUUGCCUGGUCGUUCUUCUUUGGAUAUGCCUUUUAUGAAUCUGGUGUCCACUGAUAGUUCGACUUUGGAUUAAGUGUCCGAUUCCACAUCUACUUUGGUUAUUGAGUUUUGGAUUCCUUUGGUAUGUUUAUUAUUGGUAUUAUUUGACAUUAGUGAGAGUUGUUCCAUAAAUCUUCCUGAUUGUUCUUCUCUGGAUAUACUAUUAUGAAUCUGGUGUCCAUUGUUAGUUCAAUUUUGGAUUAAGUGUUCAAUUCUUUACUUAUUUUAGUUACUGAUUUUUUUUUAUUCACUUUGGUACAUUUACUUUUGAUAUGGUUCGAAUUUGCUCACACCUUUUCCUGGUUGUUCCGUCCUUGGAUAUAUCCUUUAUAAAUCUGAUGUCCAUGGAUAGUUCAAUUUUGGUUUUAGUGCCCAGUUCGACACUUAGCAUUAUUAUGAACUUUAGUGCAAUAUUUAGUUCUGUUUUGACUUUUAAGCAAUAUUAUGUCAAUAUUUGGUAGCAGAGAGUAACAGUAACAUUUUAGUAUGAAUUUGAGUCAUAUAUUUAUUUUUCCUUGAUCAUUAGUUUAUAUUUAGAAGUAAUCUUGCGAAUCAACGUGGAUUGUUAGACUAUUGUAAAUUUAGUUGUUAAUAUUUUGAAGUUUAGAAAAAAAAAAUUUUAUGGAUAAAAUUUUUUUUCCCGAGUAGAAGGGGAUUGUAACGGUCACGUUACAAAAUUAGCUCUUUAAUUAUUAUUAUAAUUAUUUUUCCUCGGUCUCCAUUUAAAUUCUCUAAUUUCUCGUAUAGGACUACUGGGGUGACGUCAUACCUCGGUGAUGGAACGUACUCCACCUAUCGAGAAUGAUUUCGUUUUCUGAGAGAGUUUGACGUUUACCUUGGCGGAGAAGCGCCUCUCGUUCUUUACUUGACUGUUGGCUGUUGUGUCGAAUAGAGGUACCAUAUAGAAUGGCGGAUGAUUUCAUCCAACUUAUUUUAUAACAUCAAGCAAUUUAAGGUAAAGUAAAAAGUUACCAGCAAGGGUUGUCGAGUUAGGGAGACAUGUGUGUGACAACUCCUGUUGGAGCCUAAUAGGAAUCAUUCGCCAUUUAGGAGAAACCCUACCAUGAAGUCGUAGACCUUAUUUGACCACCUAGGGAAACCACUACAGCCACAGUCAAGUCAUCAUGGGAAUACGUCUUUUUUGGAACAAGCUAUGGGAGCGUUCCAGCUCAAUUUUCGUCUUGGCACCUGGGCCUACAGGAGUCAUGGGGUCGCUCCAUCCUGGUGCAUCAUUUUCUAGGAUGCAACCGCAACCUCGUUUGGGAACAUUUAGUGAGGUGUUUUAGUAACUAUUGGUUUUUUUAUAUUACAGACUAUCUGUUAAAUACACUAUGUUUUUUUCCAGAUUUAGGUUACCUCUGGUUUUUUUUUUGACAUAUUUGUAUAUUAGAUUAUUUGGUUCCCAAACUUUGUAUCUACGGUAACUUCUUGUGCACAGGAAUAAGCCUAGAGAAAAUUAGGUUUUUAAUACUUUAUUAUUGCUUUGAUAUUGGUUUAUGUAAUUCGGGUAAAUUUAUUUUUUAAUAUUACUAGCUUGUUUCCCAAAUAUUUUACUGUUAUUCGCUUUAUUCCAUUUGUUCGGUUAAUUUAGGUCAUCGUCGGUAUUUAUCUCAACUUCAUUUCUACUUUAGUCAAUUGUAUAUUUAACUUUAUAUAUUCAUUAUUGUAUUUUCCCUUAGUGAGGCUUGGGCCUAUUUAUUUGUAGUAUUUUCAUCUUUGUCAGUUUCCUUUAGUUGUACGUAGCAGGCGUACUAUAACCAUUUGGUAGAAGACUUAUGUAAUUUUGUACCCUAUAUAUAUGUAAGAGGUAUUUAAGUUUGUAACAGAUAACAUUAUUGUUGUUAUCUUUAAAAUAUAUAUAUAGCUUCUUGUAUAACUUAUGUCAUUUUAGAGUUACAUGAUAUAUGCUUGUCUAACUCAGAGAUUGUUAAAAAUCUAGUAGUUAUUUUAAUAAAUAUUUAUUUAUUUUGUA
Molecule: long non-coding RNA, 5278 nt
Organism: Diabrotica virgifera virgifera (western corn rootworm)
Lineage: Eukaryota; Metazoa; Arthropoda; Insecta; Coleoptera; Chrysomelidae
Exons: 2
Source: RefSeq, a predicted model, not a curated record